CGCACUGUUUCCUCGUCCCGUUCCUCCUUCCAACCUAGAUGCUCAUCCGUGCUGUCGUUAUUUGCAGCCCUCAAGGUUAGUCGUGCCCGCUUUUUUCCUUUUUUCUGAUUCAUUUUCUUUCUUCCAUUAUCCUUUGCUUCUCCUUCUCCUGGACUCAUUUCAUCCCAUCGUGCGCGCUAAGCGACCAAUCAACAGAUUUUUUUUAAUAUUACAUUAUUGUGUGUAGUUUUUGCUCAAUUAAUUUAGGGAUAAUUAAGAAUGUUAAUGGUGCCUCUCAAAGCUCUAGAUUUGGUCCCUUAACCCUAAAACCAAUAGAAUUUGGUACCGAACUUAUGGGACCGAAUAAGUUUAGUCCUUCUCCAUUGCCUCAUUUUUAGUAGAUUUUUGUCAGCCGUGACAUGGCUUUGACGUACUUGAUUAGUUAUACCAACGUGGCAGCUCUUGGCUGGAUGCCACGUUAGCAUCUGACUUCACAACCUAAUCUGAAGCCCUCUUUUUUUACCUAG
RNAcentral lists this long non-coding RNA (506 nucleotides) under Brachypodium distachyon (stiff brome). RNAcentral describes it as "long non-coding RNA (BDIS_LNC004462)". Lineage: Eukaryota; Viridiplantae; Streptophyta; Magnoliopsida; Poales; Poaceae. The record is from RNAcentral.